This 253-nucleotide ribosomal RNA is filed under the name uncultured bacterium. Its description in RNAcentral is "partial 16S ribosomal RNA". It matches the Rfam family "Bacterial small subunit ribosomal RNA", at positions 524 to 776 of the family's 1533-position model. The record is from RNAcentral.
UACGAAGGGGGCUAGCGUUGCUCGGAAUCACUGGGCGUAAAGCGCACGUAGGCGGCUUCUUAAGUCAGGGGUGAAAUCCUGGAGCUCAACUCCAGAACUGCCUUUGAUACUGAGGAUCUUGAGUUCGGGAGAGGUGAGUGGAACUGCGAGUGUAGAGGUGAAAUUCGUAGAUAUUCGCAAGAACACCAGUGGCGAAGGCGGCUCACUGGCCCGGUACUGACGCUGAGGUGCGAAAGCGUGGGGAGCAAACAGG